GCACUGACAAGUCUGGCCCGUCAAAGUGUUUUUACAGGAGUAGUACCUGCCACAGCUGCCUCAGGUAUGAGAAGACAUUUAAAGCAACAAGCAAGACCUAGGUGUAAAUCGUUGUUGCUUUCAAAAUAAAACCAGCUGGAUAAAAAUCGCCCGUGAAGAAGAACCGUACAAUCGUUCAGGUUAUGGUUAAGGUGUUAUGGCUCAGAUAACAAAGUAAUGCAACUUUAGCUGAAAAAAGGAAAUGUACAUAAUGAGUACGUAUUUGGUCAUGUUAAACGUUGUAUUUCAAUAUGGGUUUUAUUUUGAAACUUGGGAAGGGACGUCUCUCUAACUUUGGAGUUAGUUACACCUUGCUGCGUCCCACCCAUAAAACCUGUGUGCAUUUGCCAUAAAAGUGCACAGGUGGGUCUGUGAGACGUGGACAGAGGACAGCUACGGACCCAAAUGGAGAGCAAGACUCCGUCCAAAGGUCCUGUCGGAGCAGGUGCCUGUGGUCUGCAGCCCCUUCCUGAGGUAGCCGAGCCCGAAGACCUGAGCAAUGUGGAGGGCAGCAAGUGCCAACCCGGACACCCUGCAGGGGCAAGAGAUGCAAAGGAGGUGCACUCAUUGGACAGCUCUCCGUCUUCCUCGGAGAGCGAGGACGAGGGUCUCUGCAAGAAAGACAAGAAGAAGAAAAAGCUGAAAAAGAAAACAAAGAAGAAGAAGAAGAAGGAUUCCAGCUCAUCCUCUUCCUCCUCCUCCUCCUCCUCCUCCUCCUCCAGUAGCUCUUCAGAGAGUGACAGCGAGGAUGACAAGAAGAAGAAGAAGAAAAAGCAGAAGAAGGACGAAGGGCAGAAAGAGUGUGUCCGGGACGAUGUUAUCAUAUGUAGUCCUGGUGGCCAGAUGGAGCAGCCGGGUGCAGAAGGUGCAGAAGGUGUGAAGAUGAGCCAGGAUUGUAACUCCUCAGAUGGUGAAGAUGACAAGAAGAAGAAGAAGAAGAAGAAGAAGAAGAAGAAGAAGCAGGACAAGAAGAAGAAGAAAAAGAAGAAGGAUUCGUCUUCUUCCUCAUCUGACUGUUCCUGCUCCGACUGCGAGGACGAAAAGAAGAAGAAGAAGAAGAAGAAGAAGAAGAAGAGGAAGAAGAAGGACUCAAGCUCCUCUUCCUCAGACAGCUCUUCAUCAUCCUCUGACAGCGAGGAUGACAAGAAGAAAAAGGACAAGAAGAAGAAGAAGAAGAAAAAGAAAGACAAGAAAAAGGAUUCCAGCUGCUCGUCUUCAUCUUCAUCUUCUGACAGUGAUAAAGAUGAGAAGAAAAAGAAGAACAAGAAGAAGAAGAAGAAGAAGAAGAAGAAGAAUGACAAGGAAAAGAAGAACAAGAAACACGAUGAAGAGCAGAAUGAGCUCUGCGGUGGAGCUGCUCCUCCAGCUUCUGGUGAGUGUUUUUCUGCAGGUGGUGAGACUCCGGGACCAAGUGCUGAUGGAGAGAAAAAGAAAGACGAUUCUGCCGACAAGGUCAAGAAAGAGCCUAAAGAAAAAGAAAAAUGUGGAGCAAAGGCCUUCGCUGACGCUAUUGAGGAAGGCCACCUGAGUGACGACGAGGGAGAAGGAGAGAACCACAAGAAGAAGAAGAAGAAGAUGCUGAAGAAGAAGAAGGAGAAGGGUUCCGGCUCAUCAUCAGACAGUGAUGACGACGAAGAAGACAAGAAGAAGAAAAAGAAGAAGAAGGAGAAGGACUCCUCCAGCUCCUCCUCUUCGUCUGAUAGUUGCUCCUCAGAUAGUGAUGAGGACAAGAAGAAGAAGAAGAAGAAGAAGAAGAAGGAUUCUGGAUCCUGCUCGUCUUCUUCAUCCUCUGAUAGCGAAGAGGACAAGAAGAAGAAGAAGAAGAAGAAGAAGAAGAAGAAGAAGAAAAAGAAGAAGAAGAUGAAGGAUAAGGACUCCUCCUCUUCUUCAUGCUCGGAUAGUGAAGAGGACAAGAAGAAGAAGAAGAAGAAGAAGAAGAAGAAGAAGACGAAGAAGAAGAAGAAGGAUAAGGACUCCUCGUCUUCUUCAUGCUCUGAUAGUGAAGAGGACAAGAAGAAGAAGAAGAAGAAGAAGAAGAAGAAGAAGAAGACGAAGAAGAAGAAGGAUAAGGACUCGUCCUCUCCUUCAUGCUCUGAUACUGAAGAGGACAAGAAGAAGAAGAAGAAGAAGAAGAAGAAGUCCUCUUGCGCUGAGAGUGAUGACGACAAGAAGAAGAAGAAGAAGAAGAAAGAUAAGAAGAAGAAGAAGAAAAAGAAGGAUUGUUCCUCUGGAUCGUCCAGUGAUUCGAGUGAUAAUGACAAGAAGAAGAAGAAGAAGAAGAAGAAGAAGAAAAGGAAAGAUAAGAAGAAAAAGAAAGACAAGAAGAAGGACUCCGAUUCUUCUACCAGUGCUGAUGACAAAAAGAAGAAGAAAGACAAGAAGAAGAAAAAGAAGGACAAAAAGAAGGACUCAAAGUCCAGUUCAUCGUGUCCAUCUGACGGCAGUGACAAGGAGAAUAAAAAGGACAAGAAGAAGAAGAGGUCUGGUUCAUCAGGAAGUGAAACUGACAAUAAGAAAAAGAGGGAAUGCUCUGAUGGCGAGCGAGGCGGCGAAGAUCCCGGUGCCGGUCGGGCCGGACUUUCAGCUCCCGGUGGCAGCUGCUCUACGCCUGCCGCUGCUCCCGCCGUCCCCUACGUGUCCCUCCCCUCCAAACCUGUUGUGAAGAUGGAUCCUCUGCGUCCUUCAACUGUCUGCCGGCCCUCUGCCCCUGUCUCCUCUGCCCCCGCCUCUUCUGCCCCUGUCUCCUCUGCCCCCGCCUCUUCUGCCCCUGUCUCCUCUGCGCCCGCCUCUUCUGCCCCUGUCUCCUCUGCGCCCGCCUCUUCUGCCCCCGCCUCUUCUGCCCCUGUCUCCUCUGCGCCCGCCUCUUCUGCCCCUGUCUCCUCUGCGCCCGCCUCUUCUGCCCCUGUCUGCUCUGCCCCCGCCUCUUCUGUCCCUGGGUCCUAUGUCCCUGGGUCCUUUGUCGCUGGCUCCUAUGUCCCUGGGUCCUAUGUCCCCGGCUCCUCGAGUGUUGGAGAUAAGGCCCCCAAUCGUAGGCCUCCCAGCCCCAUGGAGGCCCUGAUGGGGAGCCCGAGGCGGUACGGCUCCUCCCAUCUCAGCUCAAGCGACCUAUUGAAAGGCCCCAAGCCUUAUCAAUGAUGAGAUCAAAACACGCGUUACUCGUGUUUCCUUUUAAAGCAACUGGAGGAUGUCGACCAUGAGAGGAGAUAUGAUUCCUUGAUUUCAUGCUGGAUAAAUGUGAUGACUGGUGGAAAAACGUAUUGUGACACGAUGAAAAUGUCCAAGAUGAGAAGUAUAAUCCAAACAUGGAAAGUCACGAUUGUGUUUUUAAUCAAUAAAGCGCACAUGUGUAAUAAUACUACAGUCUUCUAUGUGUUUUGUUUCAUGUCUCAGGUUUAUGCUGCCUUCAGGGGGCUUCUGAAUAAAGGAG
Molecule: long non-coding RNA, 3466 nt
Organism: Gasterosteus aculeatus aculeatus (three-spined stickleback)
Lineage: Eukaryota; Metazoa; Chordata; Actinopteri; Perciformes; Gasterosteidae
Source: Ensembl